CAGCAGCCGCGGUAAUACGAAGGGGGCUAGCGUUGUUCGGAUUUACUGGGCGUAAAGGGCGCGUAGGCGGACUGAUAAGUCAGGGGUGAAAUCCCAAGGCUCAACCUUGGAACUGCCUUUGAUACUGUUUGUCUUGAGUUCGAGAGAGGUAAGUGGAACUGCGAGUGUAGAGGUGAAAUUCGUAGAUAUUCGCAAGAGCACCAGUGGCGAAGGCGGCUUACUGGCUCGAAACUGACGCUGAGGCGCGAAAGCGUGGGGAGCAAACAGGAUUAGAUACCCCUGUAGUCCCUGUCUCUUAUAU
Molecule: ribosomal RNA, 301 nt
Filed under: uncultured bacterium
Lineage: Bacteria
Description: partial 16S ribosomal RNA
Rfam family: Bacterial small subunit ribosomal RNA
Source: RNAcentral